UACGUAGGGGGCAAGCGUUGUCCGGAAUCAUUGGGCGUAAAGCGCGUGUAGGCGGCUUGGUAAGUCUGCUCUGAAAGCCCGGGGGCUCAACCCCGGGAGGCGGGUGGAUACUGUCAAGCUCGAGUCCGGAAGAGGAGUGUGGAAUUCCUGGUGUAGCGGUGAAAUGCGUAGAUAUUGGGAGGAACACCAGUGGCGAAGGCGGCUCACUGGACCGGAACUGACGCUGAGGCGCGAAAGCGUGGGGAGCAAACGGG
This 254-nucleotide ribosomal RNA is filed under the name uncultured bacterium. Its description in RNAcentral is "partial 16S ribosomal RNA". It matches the Rfam family "Bacterial small subunit ribosomal RNA", at positions 524 to 776 of the family's 1533-position model. The record is from RNAcentral.